UUAUUAAUAUAUUGUAUUCUGUCUGAAAGGAGCUGAUUUCCAUAUAUCACCCAUGUAAAUCCUGCCACGUGGGGGCAUUUCCUUCUGCUCUGUGAUGGUAUAAAUGGCCCAUUCUGCAGUCAGUGGUUCAGUGAUCUGUAUCAGCCCAGUGAGCAGGGAUCAGGAUGAUUUCACACAGCUGUUUGCUGACUAUAUUCAUCAUCUGGAUUCAUGGAUCCUAUGGACAGAUUGUGAUGACUCAAACUCCAAAGUCAGUUACUGUGUCACCAGGAGAAACUGUCACCAUGACAUGUACAUCUAGUACUGAUAUAGACAGCUGGCUAGCCUGGUACCAACAGAAACCAGGACAACCUCCAAAGCUUCUUAUCUAUUAUGUAAGCAACAGACAGCCUGGGAUCCCAGCCCGGUUCAGUGGCAGUGGGUCUGGAACCAGUUACACUUUAACAAUCAGUGCAGUGUUAGCAGAAGAUGCAGCAGAUUAUUACUGUCAGCAGGGUUACAGCUUCCCUCUCACAGUGAUACAGAGCCGUACAAAAACCUUCCUCUUUCACUGAGCU
This is a non-coding RNA of Pelobates fuscus (common spadefoot toad), 557 nucleotides long. The record is from the annotation of a RefSeq genome assembly. NCBI's taxonomy places the organism in Eukaryota, Metazoa, Chordata, Amphibia, Anura, Pelobatidae.